UGUCAUUAGCUAGUUGGCGGGGUAACGGCCCACCAAGGCGACGAUGACUAGGGGAUCUGAGAGGAUGACCCCCCACACUGGUACUGAGACACGGACCAGACUCCUACGGGAGGCAGCAGUAAGGAAUAUUGGUCAAUGGAGGCAACUCUGAACCAGCCAUGCCGCGUGCAGGAAGACUGCCCUAUGGGUUGUAAACUGCUUUUAUCCGGGAAUAAACCACGAUACGUGUAUUGUGCUGAAUGUACCGGAAGAAUAAGGAUCGGCUAACUCCGUGCCAGCAGCCGCGGUAAUACGGAGGAUCCAAGCGUUAUCCGGAUUUAUUGGGUUUAAAGGGUGCGUAGGCGGCCUAUUAAGUCAGGGGUGAAAGACGGUAGCUCAACUAUCGCAGUGCCUUUGAUACUGAUAGGCUUGAAUGAACUAGAGGUAGGCGGAAUGAGACAAGUAGCGGUGAAAUGCAUAGAUAUGUCUCAGAACACCGAUUGCGAAGGCAGCUUACUAUGGUUUAAUUGACGCUGAGGCACGAAAGCGUGGGGAUCAAACAGGAUUAGAUACCCUGGUAGUCCACGCCCUAAACGAUGAACACUCGCUGUUGGCGAUACACAGUCAGCGGCUAAGCGAAAGCGUUAAGUGUUCCACCUGGGGAGUACGGUCGCAAGAUUGAAACUCAAAGGAAUUGACGGGGGCCCGCACAAGCGGAGGAGCAUGUGGUUUAAUUCGAUGAUACGCGAGGAACCUUACCCGGGCUUGAAAGUUAGUGAAUCAUUUAGAGAUAAAUGAGUGAGCAAUCACACGAAACUAGGUGCUGCAUGGCUGUCGUCAGCUCGUGCCGUGAGGUGUUGGGUUAAGUCCCGCAACGAGCGCAACCCCUAUGUUUAGUUGCCAGCACGUUAAGGUGGGGAAUCUAAACAGACUGCCUGUGCAAACAGAGAGGAAGGAGGGGACGACGUCAAGUCAUCAUGGCCCUUACGUCCGGGGCUACACACGUGCUACAAUGGAUGGUACAGCGGGCAGCUACAUAGCAAUAUGAUGCGAAUCUCACAAAGCCAUUCACAGUUCGGAUUGGGGUCUGCAACUCGACCCCA
This 1082-nucleotide ribosomal RNA is filed under the name uncultured Pedobacter sp. RNAcentral's name for it is "bacterial SSU rRNA". It matches the Rfam family "Bacterial small subunit ribosomal RNA", at positions 236 to 1320 of the family's 1533-position model. The record is from RNAcentral. Lineage: Bacteria; Pseudomonadati; Bacteroidota; Sphingobacteriia; Sphingobacteriales; Sphingobacteriaceae.